GAUGAAGAACGUAGCGAAAUGCGAUAAGUAAUGUGAAUUGCAGAAUUCAGUGAAUCAUCGAAUCUUUGAACGCACAUUGCGCCCCUUGGUAUCCCGAGGGGCAUGCCUGUUCGAGCGUCAUUUCACCACUCAAGCCUGGCUUGGUGUUGGGCGACGUCCACUUUGGGGACGCGCCUCGAAACGCUCGGCGGCGUGGCACCGGCUUUAAGCGUAGCAGAAUCUUUCGCUUUGGAAGUCGGGGCCCCGUCUGCCGGAAGACCUGCUCGCAAGGUUGACCUCGGAUCAGGCAGGGAUACCCGCUAAACUUAAGCAUAUCAAUAAGCGGAGGA
RNAcentral lists this unclassified non-coding RNA (329 nucleotides) under soil metagenome. RNAcentral describes it as "partial contains 5.8S ribosomal RNA, internal transcribed spacer 2, and large subunit ribosomal RNA". The stretch from base 1 to 120 matches the Rfam family "5.8S ribosomal RNA", at positions 35 to 154 of the family's 154-position model. The record is from RNAcentral.